CCAAUAGCGUAUAUUAAAGUUGUUGCAGUUAAAAAGCUCGUAGUUGAAUUUCGAGAUCAAUAUGUCGGUCGUGCUUAGGUACGUACUGGCAUUAUUGAUUUCUCCUUUCUGAUGAACCAUAAUGCCAUUAAUUUGGGGUUAUGGGGAAUCAGGACUGUUACCUUGAAAAAAUUAGAGUGUUUAAAGCAGGCUCACGCUUGAAUACAUUAGCAUGGAAUAAUGAAAUAGGACGUUUGAUUCUAUUUUGUUGGUUUCUAGGAUCGACGUAAUGAUUAAUAGGGAUAGUUGGGGGCAUUAGUAUUCAAUUGUCAGAGGUGAAAUUCUUGGAUUUAUUGAAGACUAACUACUGCGAAAGCAUUUGCCAAGGAUGUUUUCAUUAAUCAAGAACGAAAGUUAGGGGAUCGAAGACGAUCAGAUACCGUCGUAGUCUUAACCAUAAACUAUGCCGACUAGGGAUCGGAUGAUGUUAAUUUUUUAAUGACUCAUUCGGCGCCUUACG
This 499-nucleotide ribosomal RNA is filed under the name uncultured Glomeromycotina. RNAcentral describes it as "partial small subunit ribosomal RNA". It matches the Rfam family "Eukaryotic small subunit ribosomal RNA", at positions 591 to 1092 of the family's 1831-position model. Lineage: Eukaryota; Fungi; Glomeromycota. The record is from RNAcentral.